AGUGAACGCUGGCGGUAGGCCUAACACAUGCAAGUCGAACGGCAGCACAGUAAGAGCUUGCUCUUACGGGUGGCGAGUGGCGGACGGGUGAGGAAUACAUCGGAAUCUACUUUUUCGUGGGGGAUAACGUAGGGAAACUUACGCUAAUACAGCAUACGACCUACGGGUGAAAGCAGGGGAUCUUCGGACCUUGCGCGGUUGAAUGAGCCGAUGUCGGAUUAGCUAGUUGGCGGGGUAAAGGCCCACCAAGGCGACGAUCCGUAGCUGGUCUGAGAGGAUGAUCGGCCACACUGGAACUGAGACACGGUCCAGACUCCUACGGGAGGCAGCAGUGGGGAAUAUUGGACAAUGGGCGCAAGCCUGAUCCAGCCAUACCGCGUGUGUGAAGAAGGCCUUCGGGUUGUAAAGCCCUUUUGUUGGGAAAGAAAAGCAGCAGGUUAAUACCCCGCUGUUCUGACGGUACCCAAAGAAUAAGCACCGGCUAACUUCGUG
RNAcentral lists this ribosomal RNA (492 nucleotides) under uncultured bacterium. RNAcentral's name for it is "partial 16S ribosomal RNA". It matches the Rfam family "Bacterial small subunit ribosomal RNA", at positions 29 to 507 of the family's 1533-position model. The record is from RNAcentral.